UGGAUUAGGCAUGCAAGUCGAGCGCUGAUUACAGGGUAGCAAUAUUCUGUGGUGGGAGCGGCGCAAGGGUGCGUAACACGUGGGUAAUCUGCCAUGAAGUUUGGGAUAAUCCCGCGAAAGCGGGACUAAUACCGGAUGUGACAGCCUGUAGGCAUCUAUGGGUUGUUAAAGCUGGGGACCGCAAGGCCUGGCGCUUCAUGAUGAGCCCGCGGCCUAUCAGCUAGUUGGUGAGGUAACGGCUCACCAAGGCUAAGACGGGUAGCUGGUCUGAGAGGACGACCAGCCACACUGGAACUGAGACACGGUCCAGACACCUACGGGUGGCAGCAGUCGAGAAUUUUUCACAAUGGGCGCAAGCCUGAUGGAGCGACGCCGCGUGGGGGAUGAAUGGCUUCGGCCCGUAAACCCCUGUCAUUUGCGAGCAAGGCGCAUUAUUUAAAAGAUGAUGUGUUGAUAGUAGCGAAAGAGGAAGGGACGGCUAACUCUGUGCCAGCAGCCGCGGUAAUACAGA
Molecule: ribosomal RNA, 511 nt
Filed under: uncultured Planctomycetota bacterium
Lineage: Bacteria; Pseudomonadati; Planctomycetota
Description: bacterial SSU rRNA
Rfam family: Bacterial small subunit ribosomal RNA
Source: RNAcentral